Molecule: long non-coding RNA, 1442 nt
Filed under: Chrysemys picta bellii (western painted turtle)
Lineage: Eukaryota; Metazoa; Chordata; Testudines; Emydidae
Description: lncRNA (ENSCPBG00000005409.1)
Source: RNAcentral
AGAUAGAGUCAAUGUUUGUAAUGGCUCAGCCAUUCCCAGUCUCUAUUCAAGCCUAAGUUGAUUGUAUCUAGUUUGCAUAUCAAUUCCAGCUCAGCAGUCUCUCGUUGGAGUCUGUUUUUUAAGCUUUUCUGUUGCAAAAUUGCCACCCGCAGGUCUGUCACUGAAUGACCAGACAGGUUAAAGUGUUCUCCCACUGGUUUUUGAAUGUUAUGAUUCCUGAUGUCAGAUUUGUGUCCAUUAAUUCUUUUGCGUAGAGACUGUCCGGUUUGGCCAAUGUACAAUGGCCAAUGUAGACAUGGGUGUGUCCUGGAUGGAAGCUGGUGGCAUGUAGGUAAGUAUAGCAGUCAGUAGGUUUCCGGUAUAGGGUGGUAUUUAUGUGACCAUUGCUUAUUAGCACAGUAUUAGCUACAUUGAUGACAUCUUCAUCAUCUGGACCCAUGGAAAAGAAGCCCUUGAGGAAUUCCACCAUGAUUUCAAUAAUUUCCGUCCCACCAUCAACCUCAGCCUAGAUCCAUCCACACAAGCGGUCCAUUUCCUGGACACUACAGUGCUAAUAAGCGAUGGUCACAUAAAUACCACCCUAUACCGGAAACCUACUGACCGCUAUACUUACCUACAUGCCUCCAGCUUCCAUCCAGGACACGCCACACGAUCCAUUGUCUACAGCCAAGCUCUAAGAUACAACUGCAUUUGUUCCAGUCCCUCAGACAGAGACAAGCACCUACAAGAUCUCUGUCAAGCAUUCUUAAAACUACAGUACCCACCUGCUGAAGUGAAAAAACAGAUUGACAGAGCCAGACGAGUACCCAGAAGUCACCUCCUACAAGACAGGCCCAACAAAGAAAAUAACAGAACACCACUAGCUGUCCCCUUCAGCCCCCAACUAAAACCUCUCCAGUGCAUCAUCAAAGAUUUACAACCUAUCCUGAAAGAUGAUCCCUCACUCUCACAGAUCUUGGGAGGCAGACCUGUCCUCGUUUACAGACAACCCCCCAACCUGAAGCAAAUACUCACCAGCAACCACACAUCACUGAACAAAACCACUAACCCAAGAACCUAUCCUUGUAACAAACCUCGAUGCCAACUCUGUCCACAUAUCUAUUCAAGUAACAUCAUUGUAGGACCUAAUCACAUCAGCCAUGCCAUCAGGGGCUCGUUCACCUGCGCAUCUACCAAUGUGAUAUAUGCCAUCAUGUGCCAGCAAUGCCCCUCUGCCAUGCACAUUGGCCAAACCGGACAGUCUCUACGCAAAAGAAUUAAUGGACACAAAUCUGACAUCAGGAAUCAUAACAUUCAAAAACCAGUGGGAGAACACUUUAACCUGUCUGGUCAUUCAGUGACAGACCUGCGGGUGGCUAUCUUACAACAGAGAAACUUCAAAAACAGACUCCAACGAGAAACUGCUGAGCUGGAAUUGAUAUGCAAACUAGAUACAAUCAACU